Molecule: long non-coding RNA, 1050 nt
Organism: Aphidius gifuensis
Lineage: Eukaryota; Metazoa; Arthropoda; Insecta; Hymenoptera; Braconidae
Exons: 7
Source: RefSeq, a predicted model, not a curated record
AACUAACCUCAUAUUCUUGUUAUUAUUUAAUAAAAUAUAGAUAAAAUUUAUUUAUUAAAUUAAUUAAAAUAAAUAAACAAAAAUCUAGAGGUCAACAGAAUUAUAACAAUCACGAUGAAACCUUGGAUAUUUUUGCUGAUUGAUUAUUAAAAGAAGAAAUUGCUGAGAAGAUGUCAACAACACAUUCAAAAAUUCCAGUUACCAUUGAAAUUGAAAGACAUUGAAUGUAAAUUAUAUUUCGUAUUGUCAUCUGAUAAAAUUUGUAUGGGUGUUCUUGAUGUUGAGAUAUUGUUUUAUUAUAAAGAGUUGCAGUAUCAGGAUGAUAGUAAUUUGUCAUGUAAUAGUUGUGAUGUAAUUGGAGGUGUUUGGAUGACGAUGAAGCUUGUUGAUCUUCACUUGGACCUUACAAAAAGACAGAUCUACAAACUUGGGAAGAUAAUUUUAGAGCAUCAAUUCUUGAUGACAGGUUGACUUACAAAAUUAUUGAUGAACUCGAAGCAUGGAAAGAACAUCACCAAGAAAUUUUUUGUAUUGAGUUGAAAAAAAAAGAAAAAAGAUAUUUGACUAGAUUAAGUGAAGAGUGGAAGGAACCAAAAGAAGUAUUAGAUACAUUACAUUCUUUAUCUGUUUUUCAAGGACAUACAGAGUAAAUAAUAACUUUAUUAUUUAUUAUAUAAUUCAAAUAAAUACGUAUCGUUUAUUUAUUUUUGUUUUUUUUUUCAUUACAGAGUUGUUACUUUAAUUAAUAAAAUAAAUAAAAAUUGGUUUGAUGAAUUAUGGGGUUAUUUCUAUUAAUGUAAAAUGAUUAUUUAAUUACCAUUAUUUCAACUAGAAAUAAUGUACUACCAGUUUCUUCUUUUAAUAAUUAAUCAGCAAAAAUAACUAAGAUUUCAUCGUGAUUGUUCUGAAGAGAAAAAAAACAACAUGAAAACAAAUUAUGAGACCAGUUAUUAUCCAUGAACUUAUCAACAAAGUAACAACUGUAAAUGCUGAAAUUUUAAAAUGAUUUGUUGCAACGACUAAAUUAACUUCUCCAAUAAUAUCAAACUA